AACUAACAUGACCAAAAAGGAAACCAAUAAAUGUGGGAGGGGAUGUGGAAAAAAAGAUGCACUAAGGCACUGUUGGUAGAGUUGUGAACUUGUCUAGCCAUUCUGAAGAAUAAUUUGGAACUAUGCCUAGAGGGUUCUGAGUAUAGAAGAACAAGUAGGCCAGCGAGGCUGGAUUGUAGAGUGAUACUUUAGGUUGUACAAAGGUAUGGAGAGGAAGAUGAUGAAAUGUCAAGUGGGGUGCUGGUUGAUACUUCAACCUUCAUCGAAGGUACUCUCUGAAGGAAAUAAGCAUUUAUUAAGCAUCUACUAUAUGCCAGAUGCUGUGCCAGGUACUUCACAAAUAUUAUCUCAUCCGAUUCUCACAAUGACUCUGGGAGAGUAGGACCCCAAGUUCUUCAGUUCAUUGGCAUCUUCCAUGAAGAAAUUCCCAGGACGGAUAUUCCCAUCCAUGGUGCAUUUGCCCAGAGACAUUGCUCCCAGAGUCUCAGAGCUUAGCUCUGGGUGGUGGCUCCCCAAACUCUGCCC
This 525-nucleotide long non-coding RNA is filed under the name Monodelphis domestica (gray short-tailed opossum). Its description in RNAcentral is "lncRNA (ENSMODG00000048356.1)". Lineage: Eukaryota; Metazoa; Chordata; Mammalia; Didelphimorphia; Didelphidae. The record is from RNAcentral.